UGAGAUGAAAACGAAAGCGGCCACCUCACUCACUCUCACUGUCAUUCACUGAUUGGGUCAAAAUUGUACACAACCCGACCCAUCUUCAUCCUAUCAUCCUAAUAUCCUAUCAUCCCAUGAUCAUGAUCGUCUAUCUACUACAGCAAAAUGAAAUCUGGAUAACACAGCACAAUCCAACCCUCCACCCAAUCCUCACAUCCCACGUGGCAUAAAAGCGCACUCUGUCACUAUCAAUCCUCUGGAUACCGAUCAAGAAGUGAAGAGUACCCUUUUCCCAAUGCUUUGCUUAGCUCAACUUAAUUUAAUAAUUCCCCAGCGGGUUCAAGCUGCUGCUGCCUCCUCUUUCUGUCUGUCUGUCUUUGCUGCCUCCUCGCCAAAAACACUUUCCCAUGCCGUGCCCUUUCUUUUUAUCUCCUUUUCGCCCCUUUAAUUCAUUUUCUUCCCUUCCCCCGCAACCUAACUAGGUCUAGCAGUCAAGUCACAGAAAGCAACAGCGUUUUUAGGAGAAAGAGAGAGAGAUGUGCAACAAGAAGAGUCCACCUCUUCCUCCUUCUGCUACUCCUACUGGUCAUGAUGAUGAUCCUGUGCAAACCAGCUCUAUGAUUCAUAAUAUCAUCAAGGAAGAACAACAAGAAACCUCCACAGACCCGGCAGCAGCUCACCGCAAAUCCAGAACCAAGACCAGGAAGCCCAAGUUCUUAAGCCUCCGAUCCCAACUCUCGCUCCCCAAGCAUGAUCACGACCAAGAUUAUUACACAGUACCAGAUUCGACCACUACAAAUACAAUGACCGCCGGUCAACGCCACCAGCUCAACCUCUUCCCACUCCACCCGGAAAACCUUGUCGACCACCAAGACAAAGCCGACAUGCAGGACGACAACGUGGCCUUGCUCUUCCACUCGGACGGCGGAGCCACCCUCAACGGCCUCCUCACAUCCACCUCCACCGCCACGACCUCCACCUCGACAACCACUACAAUGUCAUCUGACCGAGAGGACCAAGAGUCGUUUUCCACCUACGCCUACUAUAACAUUGUACGGACGGCGAUGAGGAACAGAGAGAGGGAGACGAGCGUGGAGAAGUGGGUGUGCUACUCGGAGCUGGUGGACAAGAAGGAGGAGGAACCUCGUCGUGACGUGGAGGAUCGGUGGAGGAUCGGGACCUUGGCUUUGAAGCUUGAUUAUGAGGAGAUCUUGAAUGCUUGGUCUGAUAAGGGCCCACUUUGCAUUGAUGGGGACCCACCACAGACUGUUCCUGACCAGCUUUUUCAGCUCCAUGAUAACACUCCCAAUAUUAGGGUGAGGGAUGUGAUGGGAAUUUAUGGAGGGUCCCAGGAGGAGAGGAUGAGAGCCUGAAAACGAAGAUGGGGAAAACUCAAAGAGAGGCGAGUGUAUUGAGGUACAAGGAAAAAAGGCAAAACAGGCUCUUCUCUAAGCGGAUCCGAUACCAAGUUCGAAAGCUCAAUGCCGAAAAACGCCCCCGUAUGAAGGGUCGAUUCGUGAAGAAGAGAAGUUGAAGUUCUAAUCAAAGUGUAAAGAAUACGAGCGAGCGACAUGCAGAAUAUUAGCUAGCUAGAUUCCAAGAGGAUAGAUAGGUUUUUGGUGCUUCAACUAUCUAUUACCACUGUAUGUUUUAUCUGUUUUGCUACCUAAUUGUUAAUUACGUUGCUCUUGCUGGAGAGAGAGAGAGAGAGAGGGACGAAUAUGUGUCUUGCAUAUACAUACGUAUGCACAAAGAUAUAUAUA
Prunus avium (sweet cherry) is the source of this 1745-nucleotide non-coding RNA. The record is from RefSeq and is a predicted model, not a curated record. Lineage: Eukaryota; Viridiplantae; Streptophyta; Magnoliopsida; Rosales; Rosaceae.